AAAACCACACUUUCAGGGAUCGUUCCUAUAGUUCACUUCCAGAGAAGUUUCUCUGCACUUGCAGCGCACAGGAAACUGAAGAGGCGGAGGCGGAGGCAGAGCGCGCUCUCCUGGGCGUGGAGCCGGCGCUCGGGGUUGCUUCGCUGCAACGGCCAAUUGCCAUUGACAUCGUUUUCUGCCUUUAGAAGAGGAAGAGGGACAGAACAGUCUGAGUGGC
Molecule: small nucleolar RNA, 217 nt
Organism: Cynocephalus volans (Philippine flying lemur)
Lineage: Eukaryota; Metazoa; Chordata; Mammalia; Dermoptera; Cynocephalidae
Product: small nucleolar RNA U3
Exons: 1
Source: RefSeq, a predicted model, not a curated record